RNAcentral lists this unclassified non-coding RNA (342 nucleotides) under Hevea brasiliensis (rubber tree). Lineage: Eukaryota; Viridiplantae; Streptophyta; Magnoliopsida; Malpighiales; Euphorbiaceae. The record is from RNAcentral.
AAGGGUCACAAGGGCACAGGAUACAAUCACAAUCCUGAUGAGAAGAGAACUAGGGGGGAUGCUGAUAAAAUGUACAUACAAUCUGUGGUUUCUGAGAUACAUCAAAUAGACUUAUCUGUAGCUUCAAAAGAAAAUCAUUCGGCUGGGGAACGAUCAACGUCUCAGUGGCAGCCUAAAUCUCAGCCAAUUUCAGCCACUAGUCAACGAGGAAGCCGGAUCACUAGUAGCUUGAAUGAAGGCAGUGAAGGUGGUAGGGCUAUUAAGGAGUCUACUCAGCAUGGGGAGCCACUUUUACCUCAGCCAGAUAAGGAUGCUGCUGCAGUUAGGCCUCAGUCUCACCAU